GUGCCAGCAGCCGCGGUAAUACAGAGGCCUCGAGCGUUGCGCGGAAUCACUGGGCUUAAAGGGUGCGUAGGCGGAUACACAAGUGCCUUGUGAAAUCCCCGGGCUCAACCCGGGAACUGCUUGGUAGACUGUGUGUCUUGAGGUCGGUAGGGGUCGCUGGAACAGUUGGUGGAGCGGUGAAAUGCGUAGAUAUCAACUGGAACGCCAAAGGCGAAGGCAAGCGACUGGGCCGAUUCUGACGCUGAGGCACGAAAGCGUGGGGAGCAAACGGGAUUAGAUACCCGCGUAGUCC
RNAcentral lists this ribosomal RNA (292 nucleotides) under uncultured bacterium. RNAcentral's name for it is "partial 16S ribosomal RNA". It matches the Rfam family "Bacterial small subunit ribosomal RNA", at positions 505 to 796 of the family's 1533-position model. The record is from RNAcentral.